Molecule: RNase P RNA, 308 nt
Filed under: bovine gut metagenome
Description: Bacterial RNase P class B
Rfam family: Bacterial RNase P class B
About the family: Ribonuclease P (RNase P) is a ubiquitous endoribonuclease, found in archaea, bacteria and eukarya as well as chloroplasts and mitochondria. Its best characterised activity is the generation of mature 5'-ends of tRNAs by cleaving the 5'-leader elements of precursor-tRNAs.
Source: RNAcentral
CGGGUAAUCGAGCAGAAAUGUUAGGAAAGUCCAUGCUAGCACAGUCUGAGAUGACUGUAGUGUUUGUGCUAGAUGAAUAAAUAAAUCUAGGCUAUGACGGCGUUAUCGAUUCCUAAGUCAAUAGAUACGGAUAGAUGCUCAAAAGUGCCACAGAGACGAGCUUUAUGGAAACAUAAAGAUGAAACGAGGUAAACCCCGCAAGCUAGAAACCCAAAUUUUGGUAGGGGAAUCUUCAAGUAGGAAAUGAACUAUAAGAAGGAUAGGAAACUAUAGAUAAAUGAUUACCAACUACAGAACAUGGCUUAUAG